CGCUGUAAACAGACAACAAAAUGGCAAGUAAACGUUUUUCAACGAUAAGCGAGGAGGUUUUGAAGGCAUUGGAUCGUGAAAAGGACGCUAAAAACACUAAACGUGUAGUUAAACAUGGUAUGAACUUGUACGACGAAUAUCUUCGUUCAAAUUACAUGGAUCUCGUGGAAAAUCCAGAGGAACUUAACAACCAGUUAUUGAGUUACGCUUUUUCUAUGCAUCUAUAGUCAGAAAAACGACGAAAAAUUAAAGAAAAAAACUUUGGACAGUCUGAAGUAGGGAAUAUCCAAGCAUCUCUUAAGCACGUAUAACAUUAAUUUGAAAGACCAGCAAUUUUCAUCAAGAAAUGAAACCUACAAGUUACAAGUUAAGCAGCUUAAGCGAAGUGGACAUGGGAGUGUCGACCACAAACCUGUAAUAUCUGACAGCGAUCUGGAAUAAUUAAGUGGCAACAGUGUACCUUUUAAUAUUAACAUAUUAACACUCAAUGUGGUUUUCAAAACAGGGUGUGGUUUAACUUAAUGCCUUACCUUCUGAGGAGAGGUCAAGAGAAUUUAGGUUCAAUGACGAAGUCAACAUUACUAUAGAAAUUGAUUCAACCGGGAGAAAGUUUAUACACCAGGUCAUCGCAGAAUCAACAAAAAAUCACGGGAUUGACGAUACACCUGAUGAUACCACAGGAGAAGGAAAGAUCUACGAGCAGCCUGGCAGUACGUUUUGUCCAGUACGAUGCUUUGAGAAGUACCUAUCUAAACUGAACCCUAAACUCGAAGCAUUAUGGCAAAACCAUUAGAAUCAUUUCAUUAGAGACCAGUGACAUUUGGUAUUGUGCUGCACCAUUAGGAAAGAAUACUUUGACUGUGUUAGCCAGUGAACUUUUAUUUUUGUUAUCAAAAUAUAUAUGGUUAUUCAUUGCUGAAUUUAACUAAAAGUAUUGAAUCUUAAAAUUGCUCAUGGUUCUUAUAAAUUGUUCAUGUUUGAAAAGUUUGUUCGGUAUAAUAAAAUAAAUAUUACAUGUCUGACAGGGUGACCCCUGUCAGACAUGUAAUAUUUAUUUUAUUAUACUGAACAAGUGAUAAGAAAUUGACUGUGUUAACCUUCAAAUCCUCCUCGCUUAUCGUUGAAAAAGGUUUGCUGGCAAUAUUGCUUGCCAUUGUGUCGUCUGUUUACAACGUCAUAGAUUGCGUAAUCAAGUGAUUAGAAAUUGACUGUGUUAACCAGUGUACUUUUAUUUUUGUUAUCAAAAUAUAAAUGGUUAUUCAUUGCUGUAUUUAAAUACAAUUAUUAAAUAUUAAAAUUG
Dreissena polymorpha is the source of this 1300-nucleotide long non-coding RNA. RefSeq lists it as uncharacterized. The record is from RefSeq and is a predicted model, not a curated record. Lineage: Eukaryota; Metazoa; Mollusca; Bivalvia; Myida; Dreissenidae. The transcript has 2 exons.